This 21-nucleotide transfer RNA is filed under the name Elaphe quatuorlineata (Four-lined ratsnake). Its description in RNAcentral is "partial tRNA-Leu". RNAcentral also lists the same sequence under 1 other name. The record is from RNAcentral. Lineage: Eukaryota; Metazoa; Chordata; Lepidosauria; Squamata; Colubridae.
UCUACUAAAGGAUAAUAGCAU